AAUGAAAUAACUGGAUCAAGUGGUGAUUCCAUUCCCAGUAUUCUAAGGAAUUUCCAUACUUCUUUCCAUAGUGGUUACACCAAUUUGUAGUUCCCCCAGCAAU
RNAcentral lists this microRNA precursor (103 nucleotides) under Marmota monax (woodchuck). Lineage: Eukaryota; Metazoa; Chordata; Mammalia; Rodentia; Sciuridae. The record is from RNAcentral.